Molecule: long non-coding RNA, 337 nt
Organism: Aedes aegypti (yellow fever mosquito)
Lineage: Eukaryota; Metazoa; Arthropoda; Insecta; Diptera; Culicidae
Exons: 2
Source: RefSeq, a predicted model, not a curated record
CUCAUUCGCGUUGCACCUAGGAGCUUUUCGUUAAUUAAAUUUUAUUAAUGUAUCGUAUUAAUUUGUUCAAAUUAUUUAUUUUACGUGAUUUAAGGUUCCCCAAUCAAUCGGAUACGUGGGUUUUAAUUUGAACAUCGCAUAAUAAGCUUCCGACAUUGAUUUCUGCUAUUCAAGACAAACUUAGAAGACAAAGAUGCCCCUACAUUAUAAUAUUCCAUUCCGAAAAAAUAAUCAUCAAUCAGAAACCUUUACUUGGAUCAAGAAAUCGAAAAACCGUGCAAUUUAACUUAAAUUUUUGAGUCUUGGCCGUAUGAAUAAAAUAAACCUAACCACACAA